CCUCGACGAUCUAAAAUAGUCACAUUUACGUAUACCACAGACACUCCUAUCGCAGGUACAUUUUAACCUGCAUUUAACCGUGGCAAAUGCAAUGAUGAGUGCGUGCACAUUUUUGCCUCCGCGAGUAUGAUUUUCAUAUUAUUAAUCAUUCAAUCGAGUAUUUUUGUGAUUUGUUCAGAAACUCCGACUCCUUCCCCUGGGCCCGAAUCUGGACUUCGUGUUGGAUCUGAGCUUAAAAAUGAACAACUGUUUCAGCUUCGCGGGAAGUUAUACAAUUUUGGAAAACUCGACGGAGGAGAUCUGUGCGAAAGACUGAAUAAGAAAACAAGUGCGGAAGAUAAAGAAGAAUCGAAUGAACAGUGCAGAGAGAUGACGGAGAGAGUUGAGCGACUCGGAGAAAAUGAAGGGAGGUCUCCCGGAUGUGUGAAACUACGAAAACCAGCCUGCAGAGCCACAUGGCACUUCCCGCCAAAGUACAGGUGUACCGUGGAAAUCCGCAGCAUCUUCUGGUUUUUUGCCUUGAGGGCAAGAGUAAUUAUCCCAAGGUGGAAAAUGAUACCUCUCACCGAAUGCAUUCAAGCAUUCUUGAGCAAGCGCCAGCAGAGUAUGCAGAGAGCUUUGAGUAGGACAAAAAGCAUCAACAGGCAAAUAUCCAUUAAGGCAUCCCGCUAAGGAGAUAUGAAACAGUUUAAACAUCAACUGCUCCAAUUAAUUUGCAUUGAAUUUUACAAAAAAUAACCAAAUGUAUUCCAAUGUCCCUGGGAUUUUGUAACUUUUUUACCUGGCAAAUAUAAACUGAUCAUCUAAACAAGUUUUAUCUUUACUUCCAAUAAUCCAAAAAUUCAAUAUGAAAAUUACCUUUAUAAAUUGAAUUUUCUCCAUGAUUUCAGUAAUUUUCUUGCAAAAAAUGUAAGUUGCACAAUCCUAGCAAUAUUGGAAUGCUCUGUUUCUUUUCGCAAAAUGCAAACCAUUUGUCGAUGAUAAAAGUCGUAAAACAUGUAUCUCGGUUGCAACGUGUCUAAAUCCUCAAUGUUGUUCUAUUUAUUUAUUUAUUCAUUCAUUUUUUUUAUAAAAACAAGAAACGGGAUCGCUUGUUAGGCAUUUUUAUAGAAUAUUCUUCUCAAGAUGAAUAAAUUCAAUAAAUUCCAAAGUAACAAUGUUCGCUGAUUUUCCUUCAAAGAAAUUAAACUUGACAAGAAAUCUCAGGUGAGUGAAUGCAAAGAUAUGUCUUUUGCGACUUUCACAAGUGAAAUCGGUUUAUUUCGGAGGCAUUUUAUCUAAUCUAGGUGCAAUUGCAUACGUCUA
RNAcentral lists this long non-coding RNA (1305 nucleotides) under Bemisia tabaci. Its description in RNAcentral is "lncRNA ENSASIAIIG010003". The record is from RNAcentral. Lineage: Eukaryota; Metazoa; Arthropoda; Insecta; Hemiptera; Aleyrodidae.